UACGACCUUGAGCUGCUCAAGGACAAGCACAGACCAAGGGAUGCUCUCUGGACGAAGAUGCUCCAAGAGAAAAUGAAUACGCAGCAGAGGCAGAGGAAGACCCCCAGCCUUGGCUCUCAGCGGGACCUGGAGAGCCAGCGGAGAGAGGACAAGAUUAUCUGUAAAUCAGAUAAGAAGGAUUCUCAAAGUAAAAGAUAUCUUAGUCGCUUACAUCAGAUGUAUUCCACUUCGCUCGCCAACAUGGAGUUCUCCAGGAGCCUGCUGGAGGCGAGCCGCCGGGGUGCAGACGUGGGCGCGGACGGCAGAGCCAGCGGUCUGUGGGACCCCGCGCUCCUCAGUGGACAUGGGCAGCGCCAGGUGCGGCCCCCGGAGAGGCGGCCUGACGGUGCCCGCCGGGCCGCUGGUCGUCAGCGCGAAGCCCGGCCUCCUCUCGUCUUCCUGAGACGCGAAAGCCUGCCCGGCAGGAAGAAGGAUUCCAAUGAGAAGGCAAGAGGACACGCAGCAGCCCUGGGUGGCAUGAGUAACCUUCCAGAACAAAUGAGGAGUAAGCCUGCCUCUCCAGGGAUGACCACAGCACCCCUCACCCUGGAACAAGCAAGUCAGAAGUCCCGUGUUCUGGUGGGCUCCUCUCUUUUCUCUGCCCAGACAGUUAGAGGGUGUGGUUCCCAGGAGAUCGAAGAACAAGUUAAAGCAGGAGUACAAGCCCCAGAUGCCCGAGUUGGGAGGUUGGGGUCAGAGCAGGACGCUGAGCUGAAGAUUAGAGUCGUAGCAGCUCUGGGCAGUGCCUGA
RNAcentral lists this long non-coding RNA (789 nucleotides) under Bos grunniens (domestic yak). Its description in RNAcentral is "lncRNA (ENSBGRG00000013874.1)". Lineage: Eukaryota; Metazoa; Chordata; Mammalia; Artiodactyla; Bovidae. The record is from RNAcentral.